GGGGAUCUAGUUCAGUGGUAGAGCACUUGCCUAGCACCCAAGAGGUUCUAGGUUCAAUUCCUUGUAUCACAA
This 72-nucleotide transfer RNA is filed under the name Neotoma lepida (desert woodrat). It matches the Rfam family "tRNA". From Rfam's summary of the family: Transfer RNA (tRNA) molecules are approximately 80 nucleotides in length. Their secondary structure includes four short double-helical elements and three loops (D, anti-codon, and T loops). Lineage: Eukaryota; Metazoa; Chordata; Mammalia; Rodentia; Cricetidae. The record is from Rfam by way of RNAcentral.